GUGGAGGGCUGGAUAAGGAGGAGGGCUACAAAGAAAAGAGUAAAGCUGCAGGGAAGGAGGGUGGAGGGCUGCAGCGGGAGGAGGAGAGGGAGGAAGGCUGCAAGGGGAGGAGGAGGAGUAUUGCAGGGGAGGGGGAGGAGAGCUGGCAGUGGAGGAGGAGGAGUAUUGCAGGGGAGGGGGAGGAGAGCUGGCAGGGGAGGAGGAGGAGGGCUACAAAGAAAAGAACUGCAGUGGGAGAAGGAGAGUGGUGGAGAGUUGCAGGGGAGGGGAAGAGGGAGGAGGACUGGAGGAGGAGGAGGGCUGCAGAGGAGGAGGGUAGUGGAGGGCUGCAGAGGAGGAGGAAGAGGAGAAUAGGGAGGACAAAUCCACUCUAGCAGGGGAACGAAAGCAGCAUGGGGCAGACAGAUCCACUCUAGCAUUCCAAUCUCCCUAAGCCUUUGAAUCCCUUCUUCUACACUAGCCACGGGCGGCCAGGCAUGUCCAGUUAUCCCGUGGUGGGCCAUGUUUUGGCCCAUGUUUCAGCCAAGCAGCCAACCAACCAAUUAGAGCCCUUUCUAAAUGCAGAAUCUCUGCUUAGUGAGCCCGUAUCAAUAAACUUGGCCUGAUCUAACUCUAUGUUCCUCCUACCAUUCUCCCAGGCCCUCAAUAUGCACUCCCACGGUCCUGGGAUUUCUAUGUAAACUGGAAAACUCACGUUCUCUUGGACACCGUGAGGCUGGGAGUUCCACAUGUGCUAUAAUCCAGCCACUGAAGGAUGAGAUUCUGGGUUUGAUUUUCAGUAGUCUCAGACCCGCAGCUAAAGGAGGUAAGAGUCUCUCUUGGGACAGUCAUAACUUUCAGAUUAUUCAUGUGACACUUCAGCUGGGAAUCUGAAUCCUGAGCUCACUCCCAUGAUACUUUUUCUGAGACAGAGUCUCACUCUGUAGCCCAGGCUGGAAUGCAGUGGGGCAAUCCCAGCUCAC
Molecule: long non-coding RNA, 962 nt
Filed under: Pan troglodytes (chimpanzee)
Lineage: Eukaryota; Metazoa; Chordata; Mammalia; Primates; Hominidae
Description: long non-coding RNA NONPTRT011227
Source: RNAcentral